This 2034-nucleotide long non-coding RNA is filed under the name Citrus x clementina. RNAcentral describes it as "Citrus clementina (C. clementina) long non-coding RNA (CCLE_LNC005135)". Lineage: Eukaryota; Viridiplantae; Streptophyta; Magnoliopsida; Sapindales; Rutaceae. The record is from RNAcentral.
AAGACCCCCCAGCGGAAAAAUGGCCAAAAAACUGGUGGGCUAUAGCCUUGGUGGGCGGCGUGGGCGAAGUUCGUCCGCGGGACUCGGAAUGGCACCAGACUUGGCGGGCGGCCUCCGUGUGCCAAAAAUAGGCCACGGGCACAGCCUCGUCCAAAAAUCAGCCCCCGAAGGUCGGGGUCCCAAGACCCCCCAGCGGAAAAAUGGCCAAAAAACGGGUGGGCUAUAGCCUUGGCGGGGGGCGUGGGCGAAGUUCGUCCGCGGGACUCGGAAUGGCACCAGAAUUGGCGGGCGGCCUCCGUGUGCCAAAAAUAGGCCACGGGCACAGCCGCACCAAAAAAUCUGCCCGCGAAGGUCGGGGUCCCAAGACCCCCCAGCGGAAAAAUGGCCAAAAAACGGGUGGGCUAUAGCCUAUGUGGGGGGCAUGGGUGAAGUUCGUCCGCCGGACUCGGAAUGGCCCCAGACUUGGCGGGCGGCCUCCGUGUGCCAAAAAUAGGCCACGGGCACAGCCACGCCCAAAAAUCAGCCCCCGAAGGUCGGGGUCCCAAGAUCCCCCAGCGGAAAAAUGGCCAAAAAAAGGGUGGGCUAUAGCCUUGGUGGGCGGCGUGGGCGAAGUUCGUCCGCGGGACUCGGAAUGGCCCUAGGCUUGGCGGGCGGCCUCCGUGUGCCAAAAAUAGGCCACUGGCACAGCCGCGCCCAAAAAUCAGCCCCCGAAGGUCGGGGUCCCAAGACCCCCCAGCGGAAAAAUGGCCAAAAAACGGGUGGGCUAUAGCCUUGGUGGGGGGCGUGGGCGAAGUUCGUCCGCGGGACUCGGAAUGGCACCAUACUUGGCGGGCGGCCUCCGUGUGCCAAAAAUAGGCCACGGGGACAGCCGCGCCCAAAAAUCAGCCCCCGAAGGUCGGGGUCCCAAGACCCCCCAGCGGAAAAAUGGCCAAAAAACGGGUGGGCUAUAGCCUUGGUGGGCGGCGUGGGCGAAGUUCCUCCGCGGGACUCGGAAUGGCCCCAGGCUUGGCGGGCGGCCUCCGUGUGCCAAAAAUAGGCCACGGGCACAGCCACGCCCAAAAAUAAGCCCCCGAAGGUCGGGGUCCCAAGACCCCCCAGCGGAAAAAUGGCCAAAAAAAGGGUGGGCUAAUAGCCUAUGUGGGGGGCGUGGGCGAAGUUUGUCCGCGGGACUCGGAAUGGCCCCAGGCUGGCGGGGCGGCCUCCGUGUGCCAAAAAUAGGCCACGGGCACAGCCGCGCGGAAAAAUCAGCCCCCGAAGGUCGGGGUCCCAAGACCCCCCAGCGGAAAAAUGGCCAAAAAAGGGUGGGCUAUAGCCUAUGUGGGGGGCGUGGGCGAAGUUCGUCCGCGGGACUCGGAAUGGCCCCAGACUUGGCGGGCGGCCUCCGUGUACCAAAAAUAGGCCACGGGCACAGCCGCGCCUAAAAAUCAGCCCCCGAAGGUGGGGGUCCCAAUACCCCCCAGCGGAAAAAUGGCCAAGAAACGGGUGGGCUAUAGCCUUGGUGGGCGGCGUGGGCGAAGUUCGUCCGCGGGACUCGGAAUGGCAGCAGACUUGGCGGGCGGCCUCCGUGUGCCAAAAAUAGGCCACGGGCACAGCCGCGCCCAAAAAUCAGCCCCCGAAGGUCGGGGUCCCAAGACCCCCCAGCGGAAAAAUGGCCAAAAAAAGGGUGGGCUAUAGCCUUGGUGGGCGGCGUGGGCGAAGUUCGUCCGCGGGACUCGGAAUGGCCCCAGGCUUGGCGGGCGGCCUCCGUGUGCCAAAAAUAGGCCACGGGCACAGCCGCGCCCAAAAAUAAGCCCCCGAAGGUCGGGGUCCCAAGACCCCCCAGCGGAAAAAUGGCCAAAAAACGGGUGGGCUAGAGCCUUGGCGGGGGGCGUGGGCAAAGUUCGUCCGCGGGACUCGGAAUGGCACCAGACUUGGCGGGCGGCCUCCGUGUGCCAAAAAUAGGCCACGGGCACAGCCGCGCCCAAAAAUCAGUCCCCGAAGGUCGGGGUCCCAAGACCCCCCAGCGGAAAAAUGCCAAAAAACGGGUGGGCUAUA